This 72-nucleotide transfer RNA is filed under the name bacterium. Its description in RNAcentral is "tRNA-Gly". It matches the Rfam family "tRNA". From Rfam's summary of the family: Transfer RNA (tRNA) molecules are approximately 80 nucleotides in length. RNAcentral also lists the same sequence under 1 other name. The record is from RNAcentral.
GCGAGAGUAAUUCAGCGGUAGAAUGCCAGCUUCCCAAGCUGGACGUCGCGGGUUCGAUCCCCGUCUCUCGCU